This 909-nucleotide ribosomal RNA is filed under the name Arthrobacter agilis. RNAcentral describes it as "bacterial SSU rRNA". It matches the Rfam family "Bacterial small subunit ribosomal RNA", at positions 60 to 971 of the family's 1533-position model. The record is from RNAcentral. Lineage: Bacteria; Bacillati; Actinomycetota; Actinomycetes; Micrococcales; Micrococcaceae.
AGUCGAACGAUGAACCUCACUUGUGGGGGGAUUAGUGGCGAACGGGUGAGUAACACGUGAGUAACCUGCCCUUGACUCUGGGAUAAGCCUGGGAAACCGGGUCUAAUACUGGAUACGACCUUCUGGCGCAUGCCAUGUUGGUGGAAAGCUUUUGUGGUUUUGGAUGGACUCGCGGCCUAUCAGCUUGUUGGUGGGGUAAUGGCCUACCAAGGCGACGACGGGUAGCCGGCCUGAGAGGGUGACCGGCCACACUGGGACUGAGACACGGCCCAGACUCCUACGGGAGGCAGCAGUGGGGAAUAUUGCACAAUGGGCGCAAGCCUGAUGCAGCGACGCCGCGUGAGGGAUGAAGGCCUUCGGGUUGUAAACCUCUUUCAGUAGGGAAGAAGCUGGCCUUUGGGUUGGUGACGGUACCUGCAGAAGAAGCGCCGGCUAACUACGUGCCAGCAGCCGCGGUAAUACGUAGGGCGCAAGCGUUAUCCGGAAUUAUUGGGCGUAAAGAGCUCGUAGGCGGUUUGUCGCGUCUGCCGUGAAAGUCCGGGGCUUAACUCCGGAUCUGCGGUGGGUACGGGCAGACUAGAGUGCAGUAGGGGAGACUGGAAUUCCUGGUGUAGCGGUGAAAUGCGCAGAUAUCAGGAGGAACACCGAUGGCGAAGGCAGGUCUCUGGGCUGUAACUGACGCUGAGGAGCGAAAGCAUGGGGAGCGAACAGGAUUAGAUACCCUGGUAGUCCAUGCCGUAAACGUUGGGCACUAGGUGUGGGGGACAUUCCACGUUUUCCGCGCCGUAGCUAACGCAUUAAGUGCCCCGCCUGGGGAGUACGGCCGCAAGGCUAAAACUCAAAGGAAUUGACGGGGGCCCGCACAAGCGGCGGAGCAUGCGGAUUAAUUCGAUGCAACGCGAAGAACCU